AACCAUGUGCUUCCCAUCUUGGAGAUCAUGUACUUUCACCCGCUCAUCAUGCCACCAUUAGUCCACCCUAAAUUUUUCGUUACUCCCCAACCCAAUAAAUAUUCAUCAUAUUACUAAAAUAAUAUUUUAUAUCAUGAUGUUAUGAGCUUAUGAUAAUGCUUGUCAGCCAAACAACAUUGUUAGUUGCCCUCAACAUUCACUUUGACGCCAGUGUAUGCAGCCCGCCCAACACACAAGAUACAGUUUUUUUUUUCUUUUUCUAACUAUCCUUGAACUACAAUAUAAAAUAGAUAUAGCAAAAUAAAUAAGCAAAAUAUAAUAUAAUAAAUAUAAAAUUUAUUUUUUAAACUAAAUUUUUG
This 359-nucleotide long non-coding RNA is filed under the name Phoenix dactylifera (date palm). RNAcentral describes it as "long non-coding RNA (PDAC_LNC005231)". The record is from RNAcentral. Lineage: Eukaryota; Viridiplantae; Streptophyta; Magnoliopsida; Arecales; Arecaceae.